AUAAAUAAAAUAGCAUGCAAUAAUAUCAGAUAAUAACUAUCAUAAAUAACUAACAUAAGGGAGACACAAUCCAAUACACAAAUUAUAUAUGGAUAGCCCUGCCAAGCCUCACCCAACCCCGGGUGAGGAGUACGAAAAACUCUAGGUCAUAAAUAACUAUCAUAAGGGAGACACAAGCCAAAACACAAAUCAUAUAUGGAUAGCCCCGCCAAGCCUCACCCAACCCCGGGUGAGAAAUACGAAAAACUCUAGGAGCCCCUAUCCUACAACCCUGAUACUAGGCCUCCAGACUUUCCUAUCAAGAGCCAUAUCCUCAGAAAUCCGCAUUCUAGCCAUGUCAUACCUAAUCACCUCUCCCUCUACCUCGUCGUGCGCCGACCAUCGCCAGCCACUCACAACUCCUCACCGGGGCAUCAAGACUUCUCAUCCGUACAUGCCCGAACCACCUCAACCUCGCUUCUCGCAUCUUCUCAUCAACCGGGGCCACCCCCACCUUCUCUCGAAUAACUUCAUUCUUAAUCUUAUCUAACCUGGUGAGCCCGCACAUCCACCUGAGCAUCCUCAUAUCCUCAACCUUCAUCCUCUGAACAUGAGAGUUCUUCACUGGCCAUCACUCCGCCCCAUACAACAUGGCCGAUCUAACCACAGCUCUAUAAAAUUUUCCCUUGAGUUUCUGCCAAGCAUUGGCUUUUAUUAGUCCACUGCCAAUCUUAUCCCACUCUCUUUGUUAUCCAGUAUAAUAUACAAGAAAAAAUUAUAUAGAUUAAGCAUAUGUAGAGGGGCAGGAUAAUAGAAAAAGAACUAUUUUUCCUAGAAUACCUCCAGCAGUAGCCAAGAGUACGCCAGAAAUUCCAAGAGCUCCAAAAGUACCGCUGCAUAUAAUUUGAUCUUUCCAGCUACUACUUUUGUAGCUUAUGUGGCUAGCACUACUUUCAC
This 936-nucleotide long non-coding RNA is filed under the name Nicotiana benthamiana. Its description in RNAcentral is "long non-coding RNA (NBEN_LNC024121)". Lineage: Eukaryota; Viridiplantae; Streptophyta; Magnoliopsida; Solanales; Solanaceae. The record is from RNAcentral.